UGAGGAAUAUUGGUCAAUGGACGCAAGUCUGAACCAGCCAAGUAGCGUGCAGGAUGACGGCCCUAUGGGUUGUAAACUGCUUUUAUAUGGGGAUAAAGUGGGGAACGUGUUCCCUUUUGCAGGUACCAUAUGAAUAAGGACCGGCUAAUUCCGUGCCAGCAGCCGCGGUAAUACGGAAGGUUCGGGCGUUAUCCGGAUUUAUUGGGUUUAAAGGGAGCGUAGGCCGUUUGGUAAGCGUGUUGUGAAAUGUAGGAGCUCAACUUCUAGAUUGCAGCGCGAACUGUCAGACUUGAGUGAGCACAACGUAGGCGGAAUUCAUGGUGUAGCGGUGAAAUGCUUAGAUAUCAUGAAGAACUCAGAUUGCGAAGGCAGCUUACGGGGGCGCAACUGACGCUGAAGCUCGAAGGUGCGGGUAUCGAACAGG
RNAcentral lists this ribosomal RNA (424 nucleotides) under Verrucomicrobiota bacterium. RNAcentral describes it as "Verrucomicrobia bacterium partial 16S ribosomal RNA". It matches the Rfam family "Bacterial small subunit ribosomal RNA", at positions 355 to 776 of the family's 1533-position model. The record is from RNAcentral. Lineage: Bacteria; Pseudomonadati; Verrucomicrobiota.